CCUUGACAUCCAGAGAACUUAGCAGAGAUGCUUUGGUGCCUUCGGGAACUCUGAGACAGGUGCUGCAUGGCUGUCGUCAGCUCGUGUUGUGAAAUGUUGGGUUAAGUCCGCAACGAGCGCAACCCUUAUCCUUUGUUGCCAGCGGUUCGGCCGGGAACUCAAAGGAGACUGCCGGUGAUAAACCGGAGGAAGGUGGGGAUGACGUCAAGUCAUCAUGGCCCUUACGGCCAGGGCUACACACGCGCUACAAUGGCGCAUACAAAGAGAAGCGACCUCGCGAGAGCAAGCGGACCUCAUAAAGUGCGUCGUAGUCCGGAUUGGAGUCUGCAACUCGACUCCAUGAAGUCGGAAUCGCUAGUAAUCGUAGAUCAGAAUGCUACGGUGAAUACGUUCCCGGGCCUUGUACACACCGCCCGUCACACCAUGGGAGUGGGUUGCAAAAGAAGUAGGUAGCUUAACCUUCGGGAGGGCGCUUACCACUUUGUGAUUCAUGACUGGGGUGAAGUCGUAACAAGGUAGGCGUAGACGU
Molecule: ribosomal RNA, 529 nt
Filed under: uncultured bacterium
Lineage: Bacteria
Description: bacterial SSU rRNA
Rfam family: Bacterial small subunit ribosomal RNA
Source: RNAcentral